RNAcentral lists this long non-coding RNA (27757 nucleotides) under Populus trichocarpa (black cottonwood). RNAcentral's name for it is "long non-coding RNA (PTRI_LNC002324)". Lineage: Eukaryota; Viridiplantae; Streptophyta; Magnoliopsida; Malpighiales; Salicaceae. The record is from RNAcentral.
UUCCCACCACUCUCAAGCUGCAAAGCCUGACUUCAGAUAAUAAGGUUUCAGUGCUAAGCAGUCCAUUUAGUUCCUCUAGGCGUAUAGAUUGAGCAAUUCUAGGAUUUUCUCCUCUUAAAGUUACUUCUCUGUUCUGCCACCAAAAGGAUACCCAUCUAUCUUCAUAGUUGGACAAUACAUUUCCUAGCAGCUUCAACCAUUGGAUUCCCAAAAUCAUAUCAUAGUUUUGUAACUUCAUAACAUAUAUGUCUGCCUGAAACUGAACUCCUUGCAUCUUCCACUGCAGGUUCUUACAUACUGAAGUGCAAGACAUGGUGCCACCAUUAGCUGCCUCCACCACCAUAGGCUUUAUGGUUGUCGUGGGGCAUUCAAGUUUGUCCAUCAGAUCAGCAUGAAUGAAGUUGUGAGUACUGCCCGAAUCAAUCAAGAUUAAGAUGGGACAUUUGUCUAUCUUUCCCCAUACCUUAAUGGUUUGACAUCCUGCUGUGCCAUGGAUUGCUUGGAGAGAUAGAUGAGGGGUGAGAUUUUCUGUAUUCCUUGCCUCCAUGGUUUCCUCUUCUUCUGAUGAAUUAUCUCCAUCAUCCUCUACUAUACAGAGGGAAUAUAGCUUGCGAUUUCUGCAUCUAUGCCCUGGUACGAACUUAUCAUCACACCAAAAGCAUAGGCCCUUGGCUCUUCUUUCAUCCAUUUCUUUGGUUCUGAUAGGUCUGGCAGGUUUGUGGUUAGGGUAUACAUUAUUAUUGUUGAAGGGUGGGUUGGUAGGCGUAGGCAACAAGGCUGGUGGGGAAGGUUUUGAAGGAUUGAAGGGGUGACUGGGGUUGGUCUUGUAAGUGCUGGCAGGAUAUGUAAAUUUUGCAGGCUGGGAGUUGGAACUUGCCAGGCUAUGUUGUUUUGGGUAAUGAGGGGUGAUUUUUCGGUAUGUGAGGGUAUUGUUGUGCAACCUAGCUAGGUUGUAAGCUUGUUUGAGUGAUUUUGGCUCGAACAUUUUUACUAGGUUCUUGAUUUCUAUCUCCAAGCCUCCUAGGAAGAACACCAAGGCCUGCUUCUCUGAGAUUUGUGCUCUAUUCCAUAGCAUAUCAAAGUCCCUGAUAUAACCUUCCAAGUCUCCUUCCUGCUUGUGCUCAGUGAGUUCUUCUAAGGGGUCCUUUUGACCUCCAAAUCGACAGCACAAUGCAUCCACAUAUUCUGCCCAUGUAACCUCAUGUCCUUCUAGGUUUCUGGUAUAAUUCUGAUGCCAGUAAAGUGCCAAGCCAUCCAAAUAAUAUGAAGCUAGUUUCAGUUUGUCAGUCUCAGGAAUUUCUUCUAAGUCGAAAUACUGGUUGCAUUUGUACAACCAUUUAUGCACUUCUUCCCCUUCAAAAGAAGGGAAAUCUCGCCGGGGUCUGCGUGACCUGUAGGUAGGUGGUCCUUCUCCUGUCCAAUCUUGGUUGCUGGCCGGAGCAGGGUGUUGGGGCAUUCGAACAUGCUGGGAGGAACUUGCUUCACCCGCCAAGGUUUGCAGGGUUUGUUUAAUAGAGAUUUGUUGAUUUGCCAUUUCCUUCAUCAUGGCUUUCAGCUGGGCUAGGUCAUCUGACUGAGCGUGCAACUUGACUUCUAUUCCAUUGACUCUUUGAUUAGCAGCUUCCAAAGAAUCAUCCAUUCUUCUUACAUCUUGGGAUCUAGUUUCUGGUGCCAUUUGUUGAAUCCAAAGAUGAUGGCUCUGAUACCAAUUUGCUGCAGGUUAACUGGAAGCCUUGAAUUAAGCAAGGGAAGAACGAAGGGGAAAGAGGUUUGAGAAGGGAGAAGAAGGUUAUCACGUCCAGAACGUGUUUGAGAGAAAGAGAGAACAGGGAAUAGAGUUUGAGAAUUCUGUUGUAAAAUUUCCACACCUUUCUGUUGCAAUGAUUAGGGAAUUUAAAGACAAUAUUGUAAAUGCCAGCGUGGCAUCACUACGUGGCUGUACCAGCUGGCCUACUAGAAUAUAAAAUGAAGCUGCACAAAAACGCAGCCGUUUGGUUCCAUUUAUUUAAAAAUCAAAAUCCUGUUUCACUUUCCCCUUUGCUCGUUUGUGCCUUCUUUCCUUCUGUUCGUGACAAUCUCAAUGGAAACAAGGACUUCAAUGAGGCAGAACUUCUUGCCAUACAAAAGCCCUCCAACUUUUUGCUGGAUUCCAUGGAGAAAAAGCUGAAACUGUUUUUAAUACAUAAUGGAUUUGCUUCAAGACUUCACGCAAAGCAACUACAAGUUCUCCGCACUACUCUUAUAUUGCAGAUUGUUCUUUUGUUUAGACUGUGUAUGGAUUUCAUUUUUACCUUGAGCUUCUGCUCUGCUCAUUUUCUAUUUUUCCUGAUCAAUCAGAAGUUUCUCUAUGGAUCUGGAACUAUAUACUGUUCCUAACUUAAUAAACUUGUACAAGAUCAUUAAAAAAAAGGGAGGGAGCAAGUACUUCCAAGACUAACCAAGACAAUGAACAUGCAUGCUUGUUGAUAAAGAAUAAUAUAAAAUUAAAAUUAUAUCUCAGAAUCUCGUUUAAAAACUUCCUUUAUUUUUUAACAUGAUAACAAAGUCCAAGUCUUGUUGACCAAAAUUAAAAUAGUAGCAGUAACUAAUCCAUCAGGAAUUCAAAUCUCACAAUUGUAAUCUCAUUGUUUUACCCUCACCUAAAGUGACUAGAUGAUAACAUGCUCGUUUGCUUGAGAUGGUAGCAGAUAAAAUGCUCGUUCGCUUCGUGAAUUAUUCCCAAAAGUUUCAAACUUGUAAAAUCUUCAACUUCUAACCGAAAUUUCUCUAAUAUGAAUAAUCCGGGUGGCAUGUCCGGAGAGCAAAACUAAUAUGAUUUUUUAAAAUCAAGCUCCUGUCAAAUGGCAGGGCUCUACUUUUGUUGCCAUGAAAGCAUACAAGAAGCUAGUUAUGGAAUCUGAUGGGAAGAAGAAAAUCAAACAACACUUGAAGAUUGUGUUUAAGUAUGGUAAAUGGAGAGAUGAUGAUGGAAUACUGAUCUACUGGCAGAGACUUGUAUAAUUGUUCUCAAAGAACGAUCAAUUGAAGAGUUGCAUUGCAGUAUAUGACAUUUUUUAAGGCACGAGUGGUACAAUUGUGGAGGAAUUUUGUGUCUCUAUGGGACUACUAAUUUCUCAGGCUAGCUAUAACCCAUGGAAAGGAAAGAUUUUCUCAUUUAUUGAUUAAUCUAAGCUCUGCAUGAUCAAUGGUGACAACCUUAUAUGAAAAUCCGAGUUUAUUAGAGAACUGGAUUCCAGCGAGGGAUCAAGUUUUACAAAGAUUUAUGACCGGGUAUUACAGUUUGUAAUGACAUAAAGUAGUGAUAGGAUGGUAAAGAGGGUUUUUGUCUUCACAAAUCUGGAUUUUAGAGAUUCAACGAAGGAAAAAUAGGCAGCAGAAUACAGAGGGGCAUGGAAGAGCUAUAGGAAGAGAGGGUUCAAAACUGUACCUGAGAUUGUUUUUUGGAAUCCUAAGGGUUGCAAACCUAAUCGUAAAGUAAUUGAUAGUCAAGUUGAUCACCACCAUAGAGGGAUAGCAGUGGUUAAAGGGUUUUUUUGUAAAAAAAAAAAACUUAUCAAGUUCUUGAUGGGAGAUGAUCAUUCUACAAAUGCUUACACACAGCAAGAGGAGAAGUUGACAGAGAAGAGCUUGGUUCCAGAGAUGGAUGAGAUUUUAAGCUCUGCAACUAGCCGGGAUGAAUUCAAGAAUCUAAGUGUAAUGGAUUGAUGAUGUGCAAAUGAAUUGAACAAUAUGUUUGUAGUAGCUCAAAAUUUCUCUUCUAUUCAAGUUUAAGUACUGAGCUUUGCACUAAUCUUUUCUCUCCUAGCUUGGCUAAUUAUUUUCUCUAUUUGCUAUACUGAAACUUAGGCAUUUUUUGUCUGGUUUGUAUCAAUUGAAAAGAAUUAACCAAAAGUUUACACUUUCUUAUGAAAUAUAUCACAUAAAGAAAGGACAUUGAGAACGGUGAUGACGGGUCCUGCUAGGGACUACAAAAAUGUGUACUGGAAUGAUACAUGAAUAAUGAUCAACCAGGAGUAAUUUCUGACAAAUUAAUCAAAUAACUACAAAGAAAAACCAAAUUGGAAUCUACAAGAUUUGCCAAGAAAGCUAGUUUUUGAAGCAUUGGAAACCAGAUUUUGAUGUUUUCAGAAAAACUACGCGCAGGAAAACAGUGAGCAGGAACAGUAUCCAAAUGAAAAUUCUCUGGCUACCUACCCAAUUACUCAUUAAAAGCCUUAACUCUCUGAUUCAGCUGGUUUCCAAUGACAUCUGUUCUCAUUUUCUCCGCACAAUAAAUGGCAAGCACUCUCCUCUAACUAUAAGGCUACAAGUGUUUUUUUUUAUGUCACAUUAUCUGUCAUCUUAAUUCUGUCAUUGGAAAACAGAGACACCAUUAAUAGUUGCUUGCAUUUGCAGCAUCGAUCACAUGGAAGUAACUAGGAGGAGCCUGGAAGUAAAUGGAAGGUAUAAUUGCUUGCGUACAAGACUGUCCAGCAAGUAAUUAAAGCCAGACAAUACUUUAAUUUGGUUGGUAGUAAAUUUGGACUUUAUUAUUUGUGAUUUGAACGAUUUGUCCACCACGACAUGGAAUCACUCUUGACUUUUGUUACUCAAAACAUUAAAUUAUAGUGGUAGAAAUAGAGUCAAUAUCUACCAUCGUGUUAUAUAUGGUGGAAGCAAAGGUGAAAUUGCACUCAAGACUCCAAACGAGUGUAAUUUAAUAGAGAAUUAUUUUGAUUUUUUUAUAUUUUUAAUUUAUUUUGAUAUAUUAAUAUAUAAAAUAUUCUUUAAAAAAUAAAAAAUAUAUUAUUCUACUAUAUUUUCAAGCAAAAAAAUAUUAAAAAAUAACAGCUACAUACCACCCUCUCAAACUUUAAUUUUUUAUAUAGGUUCAUCCCCUUUUCUUAAAUUCAAAUUAAAAUAAUAAUAAUAAAGUCAUGGAGAAAGAAAUUUAUGCCAACGACAUGAAAAAUCUAAAUAACCAUUAUUAAAGAGCUCUCUCUCUCUUCCUCUCUUUACAUUCAAGCACCUUAUUUGCUGUUGAGCUUCAUGUGUAUAUACAACUAUUAUAUAUGAAGUACAGGACACUACUCCUAAUUAAUUACUUUCGGUGAGUUUGUUGAUAUAUGGAGAUCAAUAUUUAAUUCAAAAAUUAUAUAUAUAUAUAUAUAUAUAUAUAUAUAUAUAUAUAUAUAUAUAUAUAUUAACCAGAAAAAGAAUACGACAAAAAGAAGAAGAAGAAGAAGAGAUCCUUCCAAGAAAUUUGAAGCUAACCCUAAUCUAAAUUUCUUGGUCAUAUCCAACCCUAAUCCAUAGUCACAGAUACGGGUCCAAAAUGUAGGGUUUUUUUGUAUAAUAAUUUUUGUGGUCAUGGUCUAAAAUUCUACGUCGAAAGUCAGUAAAAAGGAUCAUUUCUAAUGUCCUAUUACAACUAAACAAUGAAUUAAAUAAGCUUGAUUUUGUAGACUCCAAGGAUCAAAGUCUGCUAGAACAAAAAAAGAAAAAUAACCAUAAAAAAAAACAUUUUAAAAAAAUUGUAAAGCAACAAGAAAGUUAAAAAAAGUAAAUAUAUAUAUAUAUAUAUACACACACUCGAAAAGAACUGGAAGUUGCUUAUAUAAUAGUGUAACAGAUAGAGAAAGAGCGUUAACGUGGAGUGUACACUGAAAGCAAAAACCGAAAAGCUUCCUGUCAUUCACACUUCGUCUUCACGCGGUAUCUCUUUUCUCUUUGAAUGAAAAAAAAAGGGGCCAUAUAUUUAUUUCCACAGAAACAGAGAAACCCAAUAAGGGAAAAGCAAAAAAGACACCACCACAAAAUUCUAGAACCAAAGAAACAAAGAACAACGAGAACGGGAGCAUUCGAAGUUGUUAAAGCAGAUGAUGUUGAGAUCGUGGUACAGACCAUUAGAGAGGUGUUUUGGUCGGGUAGCAGGUGGUGGUGGCGGUGAUGGAUUGAUGUGGCAUGCUGAUUUAAAACAACAUGCGUCUGGUGAUUAUUCAAUUGCGGUUGUUCAAGCUAAUUCUAAUUUAGAAGAUCAAAGUCAGGUUCUUACGUCCUCCUCCGCUACUUAUGUUGGUGUUUAUGAUGGUCAUGGCGGUCCUGAAGCUUCCCGAUUUGUCAAUAAACAUUUGUUUCCUUACAUGCAUAGUGAGAAUUCUCUCCUCUCUCUCUCUCUCUCUCUCUCCCCUCUUGUUUAUUUUUUUUUCUUUUGUUUGUUUUGUUUUUUGUCUUAAUUAGUUGUUUUCUUGAUUGUAAUGAUCAUGAUCACGGUGAUUAUCUUAAACCCUGAAUUUAUUUGUGGUUUUGAUGUCUUAAUCUAUUGGUCCUGUGGUUAAGGACUCAAGGUCCAGUCUUUGUGUGUUUGAGUUUGAAUUCCCAAACCCCAUAUCACAAAUUAUAGAAAGGAAAGAGAGUUUUAUUAUUAUUAUUAUUAUUAUUAUUAUUAAUCAUACGUUAUCUAAUUCUUCAUUUUUUACUAUCUUUUCUUUGGUCACCUUUCCCUUGUUCGUGCUAGUGCAAUAGUAUGUAUUAAUAUCUUUUCCAUUUCAAUAGAAUGAAUCUCGAUGUGAGAGGCUGGAGUUUGCUUUUGUGGGUUUAGUUAUGUUAGUGUUAGGGUGACAAGUUGUAGAAAACCUUGAAAGUUUCUAGCUUUAUUGAAUUGGAGCUUUGUUUGUUUGUGUUUUUAUUGUGUUUUUAUUUGUGGGCCGAUUGGAAAAGAAACUAGAUAAUAUGUGAUAAAAAUAAAAAAUUUGGCUGCCUAAGACGUGGACUAAACUGGCCUCUAUGCAACAGACUUCUUCGUAAUUGUGUCAUUCUCUAUCUAAGAUGUUAGUUUUGAUUGCAGAAUUUGCUACAGAGCAUGGGGGGUUAUCAGCUGACGUGAUAAGGAAGGCAUUUAAUGCAACUGAAGAGGAGUUUUGUCAUUUAGUGAAGCGAUCAUUACCAUGGAAGCCACAAAUUGCUUCUGCUGGAUCAUGUUGUUUGGUUGGAGCUAUUUCAAAUGAUGUGUUAUAUGUUGCGAACCUUGGGGACUCCAGGGUAGUUCUUGGCCGAGGAGUUGAUGAGGAUAAGAAAAAAAAGGUAGUGGCAGAAAGGUUAUCAACUGAUCACAAUGUUGCUGUUGAGGAGGUGAGAAAGGAGGUUCAGGCGCUUCAUCCUGAUGAUUCACAUAUUGUAGUCUAUACUCGUGGAGUUUGGAGGAUUAAGGGCAUUAUACAGGUAAAAUGGCUUCUUGUUGCUGAGCAGCUGGUCUUCUUGUUCCUGUUUUUGCUUGUUAGUUAUGAGAAUUCGGCUGAUUGGGUAUUGUUUGUUUGUGGCAUUAUACAUUCAUUCAUUUAGGUGCCAAAUAUGUUUCUUCAUCCUCUUGAUUGUCUUUCAAUGUCUUGCCAGGUUUAUUUUGAGUUACUUGGAUAACCUCUGUCUUAAAAACACUAUUUUGUAGUGUGUUUGACAUAAAGUAAUUGGUCUGAAGAUGGAUCAAUUCUGAAGGCAUCCAAUUUUAUGUUCGGUUCUCUUAUCUUUAUCUUUUGCUUUAUGAUAGGCAUCUGUCUAUGAUGGAAACACUAUAGUUAAAGUUGGCCUAGGGGUUACAUUCAUACCCUUCCGGGAAUCUUAUGCUCUGCCUCCUGGUCUACCAUUUCAUGCAAUCAAGUGAAGCAGUAUGUCUUCUGAUGCAUGAGAGGUAAAUGAAAACCCCUGAGGCCUAACAAGAAUGCUUAUGUAAUUACCGGAAGUCUUGAUCCUUUUUUUUUCCUUCUAUUUAACUUAUCCGGAGACUAGAAACAUCAUAGUGUGAUGUUCUGGUUGAUGAACUGAACCAUUGUGUUCAUUUGUUACUUGACUCCCUGAAGUUUUGGAGCUGAUUUACUAUCUUAGGCAUGUCGUAGAAGGUGGAAUAAACCUUCCCUGUUUCCUUUUUCCCUUUUCAGGUAUCUAGAUCCAUUGGUGAUGUGUAUCUGAAGAAACCAGAGAUUAACAGGGACCCAAUUUUUCAGCAGUUUGGGAACCCUAUUCCUUUGAAACGGCCAGUAAUGAAUCCAGAACCUUCCAUUCUCAAUAGAAAGUUGAGGCCAGAAGACUUGUUCCUGAUCUUUGCUUCAGAUGGUCUUUGGGAACAAUUGACCGAUGAAGCAGCUGUAGAGAUUGUUUUCAAAAACCCAAGAGCUGUAAGUUCCUGUCUUUGACUUAGAUGUUUCAUUUACUUUUUCUUGCAACUCUUAUUGAUAUUUAAAUCCCGGACCUAAUUUAUACUCUGAGGUUAGGCAAGUUAGGUUUUGAUGGGAUCCUUGGGAAUGAAAAUUGAAUUUCUUUUUCAUAAAACAAGCUUCAUCGAACCCAUGAGAAUGCAGAAUUCAGUUUCAUCUACUCGUAGCAUCUAAACGCACCGUAUUUCUGCUGAACAUGGACAUUGUUUUGGAAAUAGGAUAUUCCUGACAUCUGAACCUUUAAGCAAAUGUUUUGGCAAACAAACUAGAUGUCAUAGAUGUUCAAUUGUCUGGAGUUAUUUGUGCCUGUCCAAAUUUUGUUGCUUGCUUGACAAUUCUCUGGGCUGUUUUGACACCUGCAGGGGAUUGCUAAGAGAUUGGUGAGAGCUGCUAUUCAGGAGGCUGCAAAGAAAAGAGAGAUGAGAUACGAUGACAUAAAGAAAAUAAAAAAGGGAACGCGGCGGCAUUUUCAUGAUGAUAUCACUGUGAUUGUAAUUUAUCUUCAUCACCAAAAAGGUUCCUCCAAUGGUGGACUAAAGAAUAAUGUUGUUGGCUGCACCAGUGCUCCAGUCGACAUUUUCUCCCUUAAUGCAGAUCAAGCAGAGGUGGACUUGCUUCAAACAAUUUCUUGAACAAGGAAAAACCCUUUGAAGGGGUAAACACUGACUUCUUGAUUUCAAGGUAUAUUAAAGGAGAAUACAUUUAUGUAGAUGAAGUUAUAGCGGGUUCUGGUGUUAGCCUUUUCCAAGUAAAUAUAUAACUAUACUUGUUUCAUUCUAUCAAUGACUGGUUAAUUUUUCAGAAAUUGUAGCACCAAUUUUGUGCCUCUUUUGUAAUCCAAAUUUUAGAAAUUACAGGUCAUCAUUGAUUAUUUUUGGGCUUGUAAAAUCUGACAGUUCCGGUAGCCAAUGGUCCAAGGGCAUUUUUACGGUAUAAAUUGCACUGCACUUGCCUUAUUAAAAGCCUCUGACUUCAAGCACUGGCCAUUCUUGAACCAUUGCACAUUAGCAGCACGUGAGGUGAGUUAAGAAGUCAUCACAUGAGCCUCCCUGCCCUGCGCACAGCAUAUAUUUGUCAGUUGCUUCUACCUUCGUAGCUCAAACCUAAAUGAUGCACAACUUUCACACGAGGAAAGAACUUCGAAGUCCUCCAUAAUAGGAAGAAAAAACUACUUCUAUGUUAAAAAUUGCCGAAUUUGAGUUGAAUUGAAGUAACAAAAACAAGCACACCCGUGAUUGUAUAGCAAUACGCAAACGCAGACACGAGCCACCCCUGCAUCCAUGUAGUUGGCUAUGCGUAAGAAAGGGGAUUGUGAGGACUCACUCAAGCAUGGCUCCUUGCAACAAUCAAAAAGAUCGGAUUGGCCUUAGCUUCAGGCUUUAGGUCCCCAUUGAUGAUUAAUGAGAGGAUAUGAUGAUGACAAAAAUGUAAUAUACAUGGAUGAUAUUAAGAUAAAAUAACAUAAAAAGUUUUUUUUUUUUAAAAAAAAAAAGAAUAGAAGGAUAUAGGAAAGCUUUAACCCUUGCGAGACCAUGAUGCAUCCAUCGUUAUUUUUGCUUUGCCCAACUUUGCAUCCUUAAAAAACUCAAGAUUGGGAGGAUUUGAGGUUCUUGAAAAAAAAAAAAAUUAAAAAAACUCCUUGUACUGUAGAGAAACAGUGAUGGCGGCUGAAUUGCUUGGUGGAGCUGAUGUUGGAGCAGUGUUUGGUGAGCUGCUAGAAGCAGUCUUGAAUGAGAUAAACAAAGCCGCGUUCAAGACGAGACUGAGGCAAAUAGAAAAAACUCUACAAUCCAACAGUCCAAUUUUACAAGACAUGGAAAAGUUGAAUCAAGCAUUAAAUCGUAGAAAUGAGGAGACAGAAACAAUAAUAGAAGUAAUCAGGAAAGGCAAGACGCUCGUUGUUGUAUGCUCAAAAACCCGUAGGUAUAAUUGUUGGAGAAGGCAGAAAUACACAGACAAGCUCGUCAAGUUAGAAGAAUCCAGUGCACAAGUUAUUCUUUCAAACUGUUAUGCCAAAGCAAACAGUAAGGGACAGUCAAGAAAUUCUGUUGGAGCUAAGAGGCCAACAGCUCAAGUUCAAAAGGAAAAUUGAUGGACUUGUUGUCUCAUGUACAAUCUCUGGUGAAUGCUGUUGGAUUACAGGUGGCUUUAGGAGAAUUGAAGAUGGAGCUGUUUAAGGAUGGGAUGUCCAUUGCGGUGCUAUCUGCUCCUCCAGGCUGCAGAAAAACAACAUCGGCAAAACUACUUUGUCAUGUGUCAUGUGAAUGCUUUCCUUGUUAUGUAAUAAUCUCUACUAGUUCUUAGUAGCAACUCUCUCGUAUAGUUUUCGGUCUUUGAACAGGAAAAUUCAAGGAUAACAUCUUUUAUAUCACUGUGUCGGGAAAAAAAGAAGGCAUUAUUUAAUUACAAAAGAAAUAUUGUUUUAAUAAUUUUUUUAAGAAAAAUAUUUAAAAAACAAUAUCAAUCAUCGUAUGCAAAAAAAAAUCCCAAGAACCUGACAGCUUCAAAGCAUGAGCCAUGAUUACAGUAUCGAGUUAUUGAAAUAUAUGUAACCUGGUCGGAUGAGCAAAGGCGCAAAAUUAGGAGAAGCCAUAAUGAUAAAGGUAUUAAAUUAAUAUAAAUGAGUCAAUUAGACCUCCUAAGGCAUAACGUGGGUUCGCCCUAGGCCUCAAUUAGUAUCUUCAAUUUUGAUUCAAACCUCCUUUUUAUAACAAAAAUAAAUUUAAUUUAAAAGAUAUACAUAGUAAAAUGUGAAAUGUGUGUUUUGUGAGGUAUUACUGUUCAAUCGUAUUUUAAAAAAAAAUAAUUUUAAAUUAUUUUUGUAUAUUUUUAUAUUGUAAAGUAAAAUAGAAAAUUAUGCAGAUAAAUAGAAGGAUGAGAAAAAGAGAGAAAAAGAAUAUCAAUGAUGAUAUAAUAAUAUUAAAAAUAUAUUUAAAAAUUAUUAUUUUAAUAUAUUUCUAAAUUUAAAACAAUUUUUAAAAAACCCACUUUUAAAUAUAUAAAAUUAAUUAGAAAAUGCAAGGAGAAAUUAGACCAGGUGAGCUCAGAAAGCCCAUUUGUUACCGGGCUCAAGAGUGAAGACUUUCGAAACGAGCAUGGGAUUGGUGACCAAAACAAAGCCUAAAAAAACUCACUAUCACAGAGAAAUUGAACCCGUUGAGGUUGAGCUCAUAAACUUGAAAUUUCUUUUCUUGUUCUUAGAACAAGACUUGAAAUUUCAGAAACAGGACACUCAAGACAAAUGGGAAUCAGUGGAGACCCUCGAACAUUCAGGCAGGUUGUAGUGCAAAAUUAAGGAAGAAGGAAUGAGUGCUAGUAGUUUGGUUGCAGAUACAGUUUGGAAAACCAUUGAAUCAACCCAAUCAGGUCCUCUCUUUCUAUAUCUCAUGCUUUUUAAUAUUUAGUUAUUAAAGUCUUUUAAACCCACCUUCUAUUAAAUGACGCUUAGUGUCUUUUUUUUUCCUUCCGUGGCUAAUGUAAAUGGUGGCAGUGACUGAGGAGCAGCUUUCAAUGUGAGAAGCAUAUAAAAUAGUCACUUUCCAAUUUCCUAGCUUGCUUUUGAUCAAGUUAGUAUUGAUUUGUAAAAGGGUGUAAAUGGGUUGAUUGAUUUUGGGCCUUUUCUUUGUGUGUGUUGUUUGGGUUAAAUGUAGCUUGCAUUUCUUGUUUGGUAAGAAUCUUGAGAGGGCAACAAAGAUAGUGGAUCAGAGAGGUGUCAAAAAGAUCUCUGGUCAGCCCAGCGGUCGUUCCAUCUUUCAGGUUCAAUUCUAUUCUUUGCUAUGCAUUGUACUUUAGACUUCAAAUUUUUGCACAUGGUUGUUCGAGUUUGGAUCUAGGGCCUAAUUCGGGUUUUAAAAUGCAAAUAAAAUUGGUUUAGGUUGAAUUGUUUUGUGAUAAAAUGGCGGGGCGAUAAGCUAGGAACUUCAGUUUAAAUGGAAUAUCUGAUGAGUUUGACUGUUUUGGUGUAAAUUUAUAAAGAGGAAUGUUUGAGCAAUUUAGUUUGGAUUAGCUUACUAAAGAAAGGUUUGAGGAUUAAAAGAGUGCAGUUAAGGUUCUCCCUAUUUGAGAAUAGCUGUAAAAUUUUAGGAUCAAUCAUUUAAGAACUGAUUUGGCAAAUGGGUUUGAGGUGAAAUUGGAUUAUGGUGAAGAAACUUGGUAGUUAGCACUGUGAACAAAUUGUUAAAUAUGUUUCAUUUAAAAAGAUAGAAGUAAAGAUUAAGAUUUGAUCAUUUAAGAACUCAUUUGGUAAAAUAAUUUCUUGUUUGCUGGUGUUGGUAGGUGGUGGGAGAAUCAAGGAGGAAGGAGGAGUAUUUCUGUUUUCCUGAACACUAUUGUGCCUGUUAUUCAUUUUUUUAUGACAUUGUCAACAGAGGAGAACAACUUUGUGUAAGAGCUCUUUUUUUUUUUCCUUAUUUAUCAUUUCAGUUUGUUGAAACCACUUUUCUAUAAUGUUUUAUGAUUAACUCUUUCAUUUCUUGAAUCCAUUUCAGUGUAAGCAUCAAUUAGCUGCAAGACUUGCAGCAGCAUUAGGAGCGUUCAUUGAUGUUAAAGUGUCUGAUGAGCAACUGGCUCUCUUACUCAUCAAACUAUAACAUGUGGAGAUGGAAGGGAUCUGACUUUAAAAAAGAAGAGGUAUGGUCCAAGAGAAUCGUAGCAAAAGUUUUUAUUAAUUUCGUAGGCUUCUGACUUUGGAAGCAACUACCAGCAAUGAAAUUCUACAACCACUUCCAGGAGAUGAAAUAAUACAUCACUAAUUCGGUUGAGCUUUGCAACUUACUGUACCUCAAAAUCUUUCAGAAUUCCAUAAUCAGGUCUACUUCUCAACAAGCGAUGCAAUAUUAGCUUUGAUCCUUUACUGAUGCAACGAUGGCCAUACUCGGAACUCUGGCUCUGGUGCUGCAAACGAUUAUGAACAUUUCAGUCAAGAUCAAACAGGCUUUAGUAUAAUUUAGAUUUAGGAGACUCUGGCACCACAUUUCAUUUCAUUUUGAUCUUGAUUUAUAGAAAGUGCCAUUCCCCGUUGGCAUUCAUGGAUUACAUUAAAUUUUUGUCAUUCUUGUGUUGUCAUUGUAAACUCAAGAAUCUAACUUGUUUCCACGGUUUGAUCUUUUGGUAAUAUUUGCACCUUGACUUGAAAUGAUGCUUAAAAUAUCUUAAAUGUUGCAUGCAUGCUAUCAGGUGCAAUCCUAAAAAGGACAACCAUUGAACUUGCACGAUGUUUAUGCCCCACCAAUGUUGUUUUAUACUCUGUAGUUGUUGUUCCAUUGCAUAUAAUAGAUCUUCACAUCUUUAGUCAUGUUGAGUUUCUUUUUCUUUCAUUUUCAUUAGAUUAGAUGUUCAUGAAAAAUGCAAUGCACAGUGAAUCAUCAAUGCUAUUAAUGAACGGAUCAUUUUUACAUGUUAAGCAAAUAAUGUCUAGCCCCACUUUGAAAAUUGUCUCAAAAGCAUCACUAAUCAGAGACGAUUUGAAUCACUGAUGUUAUCCAUGAACAGUUCAAUGUUACAUGUUCAGCAGAUGUGUAAACGCCACAUUUGAAAUUGUCCCAAAUGCAUGCUAAUGCCAGUUGAUUUGAAUUGUGUUAGUGAUCUGUUGUCUCGGUAGUUCAAUGUUAUGUUCUCCAAUUAUGUAACCCAAAGAGCUAUUUCAACAUUUCAGCCUUCCUGUGGCGUGCGAAGUAAACGAUGGGGUUUGUUGGGAAUGGAAUGGGCCAGGUCUAGACUCUAGCCUGGUAUCGGGGUACAAAACUGCUGACCGAGAAGAAUCUACUUGGUCGUUGUUUCCGGCACCCCCACAAUAGAAAAAUAACUGGUUACAAGCUUGCAAAACAUUAUGAAAAUGUCGUCUUCUCAUCACGUUCUCAAAAACUGGUGUAACCUGGAAGGCUUACAAAAUGUUGGGAUGAACAUCCUUUGAGGAUUUCUGAAAAUGCUUGGCAAAGGCUCUAAAUCCCUUUUGUUUUGUUAAUCAUGUCCCAUUGAACUGCAUCUCCCUUGUCUCAUGUUGCUCUUGCUUUGCCUGUAUUUUGAUGGCUAAAGUGCCAAGUAACACACUGCUCGCUCAUCAGUAUGUCAAUUAAUACAACAACAACAAGGAUUAAAGUUGCGACAGCAGCUAAAAAUAACCACCAACUGGGAUCUGUUUCAGGAAACUAGAUCUCGUAAAUGAACUAGUGUUACUGGAAACAUCAAUGGAAGCCCCUCAUACUUGCUUAUCGUGGCGUAAGCACUCAGAGUCCUCGCCAUAUUCAACAAACAAGCCGGCGAAAACCCAAAUAUAGCUCCAGGCCUAUGAACAGACCAUUUCAAACCCCCCUUCCUCUGAACCUUAUUAAACAAAACAUCCUCUGAUAAAAACUCAAUGAAUUUAGCCUUGGAAGAUCCUCAUGUAAUGGAGGGUCAUGAGAGCUGAACCUUAAACAAGACUCAAAAGAACCCAAAUAAUGCUUGCGUCCUGUUUGCAAGCAAAUGUGCUGCAAGUUUGGAGUGUUUGGGAUUACAGCUUUAAGCACGUUAUGUAAAAUGGUGCUGUUAAAAAUGCAGUUUUCAGCUUCUGUAGACUUGCUAGCCCAGGAAACGUAAAAGAUGUGGGUUACAUCUGUGAGUUUUGAGAGCUUUUCAAUGGGUUUAUGCAUCGUUCAAGACAUCACAUCGGAUUUGGAGGUAUUUAAUUUGGUGAUCGGAUUGCCAGAUUGGCCGUGGACGGCGUGCAACUCUGUAAACUUUCCAGGGACCACCCGGGGUGUCUGCAAGAGGGAGGAUCCCGGCCAAGCUGCUGCUUACAAUGCCUGUGGCACCUAUUAUGAGGGCCACGCUUUGGUACUUUGGUGGUGCAUCACCAUCCUCUUAAGGUUUUUUCCGUUUUAUUUGAUCAAAUAAAAAUUAUUAGCUCGCCUAUAAUUACAUAACAGGAAAUGGAAUAUGAAGAGGAAUAAAUUGAGUUUUUUUAUAAAAAAAAAUGCCUUUGCAGCACCUAUGGCUCCUGCCCACCACCACCUCAUUGUGAUUGUGUUUUCUGAUUUUGCAAAUCAGAGAGAAGGAUGGAGAGAAGUGCUUGCAAGAAGAGGGAGAUUACAGAGUUGAAGAUGAGUAAUUACGUCGUGGAAAUGUGUAAAUGGACCUAAAAAUUCAGUUUAUUUAUUGAAACACCUUGUUUAUAUCAUGGUGCUUCUAUCCUUGUUAUUGGGGUUUUGGUAAUUAGGCAUUUUGUUUACCUUGUACGCUUUAUUAGUUCAUUGUCACAUUGAAAGUUAAACCAUAGAAAAGAGGGAGUUCUGACAACUGUUUCUGGUGUUUGGAGCAUAAAUCAUCAUUGUCAGCCUAACGUGAUCCCUACUUAAAGAGGGUUCUUAUAAUAACUAAACCAUGAAGUUGGAACUAAUACUAUCAUGGCUUGUCUGGACUCAUACUUGAUGAAAUCGACAGCCACAUCAGAUUAUUGCAUCUCUGAAGAAGAUAGGAGCUAAUUUGAGUUGCGAAGGACGCCAUUCAUAUGUGCAGGCAGCGGAAUUGUGGAUGGAUUAGCAUUUGUGUUAAAACUUUUUAGCAAAAUGAGUGAAAUUCAUUACUUGAUUAAAAAUAAUGUAUUUUAUGCUAUUUCUAUCCAACUCUGAAUGACAAGUUAGUAUCAGACCCAGGGAGCUGUCAUCCGACUAUUGUAAUGACCGGUUUUAACUUGGAAUUUUUAGCGUGCAAUCCUGUUAACUCUGAGGUCUAAUGCUAAAUCAUGUCACCAAGGAAGACAGAGACUCUGUUUCUAUGAGCUAAUUACUUUUCUCUAGUGGAUAACCAAGGCAAAAUAUAAUACCUCUAGAUUAGGACCCAGGCCAGCUUGGAAGUUUGAAGUUCAAAAUCCUUUGCUUUAGCAGAGAAAAUCACAGUAAGAAAUGAAAUAUGGUUUUGGCAAUAUUUUAAGCCAGCCAUUAAGCAAGUUGUUUGAAGUAGACAUGAAACCUACGAUGUUGUUCCUAGUAAGGAUGAAUUUUAAGGACUUGUCAUUGAUAAUACAUCAAAUAAAUUACAGGAUGGUGACAAAUGCAUGCAGGAUUGUUUGCUAAUGUACUGAGAUGUGAUUGAAAAUAUGAUUUGUCCUGAUCACAAUUUUAAAAAUGUUUAAUUACUCGAUAUAUAUCAUAGUUUUGCAUAAAUUUCACUAUAAACUCUCUUUUAAAACCUUGGUCAUGCUUGAAGCUACUUUUUCAAACCUUAAUCGUAAAAACUACCACAACAAAACGAGCCAAACACACAAGAAGUUCAACCGGGAAUACAAGGAUGAUGAUAGACAAUUACUCCUAUAUAAGUUUCUCCUCAUUAACAACGUUUCUGUUUUUCAUAAUCAUUCUUGAUGAUAGAACAGUCCAGUGGACCGCUGAAACACACUGUUGGCUUUCAUGUUUCUGGUUUCGAGUAUAACUGAGCUUCACAAAACUAACAAAUGGAGUUCAAAAGCCACAUUAUCGUGAUCUUUAGGGCAUAGCUAUUCAUUAACUCGGCAUUUAUAUAUAGCUUUUUACUUUUUGUUACACCUACAAUAUAUACAUUGUACACACCUUUAGCAACUUUCAGUAUAUAUCGCCAGAAGCCAGAACUUUAUGUAAGAUCACGUAUCAUCAGCUAAGAAAUGGCCAAUUAGCAACUCUCCUGGACAAACCAUUCAUUCAUCCUUCUUUCUUUACCACAUAGUUCGAAGCUCAAGAACCUAACAACAAUACAUGAAAAAUCACAUCUUAGCAAUGAAAAUUAAAGGCCACCUUUCCAAUGACAGUAAAAUUUUGUCAAAAUAAAUAACUCCUUCAUACUCAGGAAAAGGUUAAGAUAGGGUGAGGCCAGGAAAUGCUUUGGCAAGAGAUUCAAAACUAAGUUCAACUAACAAAACAAUACUUUUAAUCUAUAUGGCCCAUAAGAACAAAAUGAGGAUAUCCAUCCCAAUUCCAUAGUUACAGAGAAACAAUUUUCUUCUCAAGUAAAUAUAAUAAAAAUGCCAUCUUUUACAUUAAGAGAAUCAAAUUAUUAAUCACAAUGAUGACACGUUGCAGAGAAAAUUUUCAAAAUUUUGAUUCUCAUAACCACCAAAUGCUAAUGGUACAAAAUGAUUCACAUUUGAUAGAGGUACUCAUACCUUGAAGUCAAUAACUCCCCUUUCCCCUUCUUUUCAUGUCUUGUCUGGAUCCAAGCACUGCCCUCCAAAUAGAUGUGUUCCUGAGUGCUUGCAUCUCUUCAGCCUCUAGGAAACAUUAGGAAGCUUUUGCUGGAUCAUCCAUAUCAACCACAUCUUCAUGCCUAAUCAAAACAUGAGACGGAUAAGAAAGGGAUUGCCUAUGACCAUUUGGUUAAACGUUCUAAUAACCUGCACUCGUCCUCCCUGGAAAUGUGUGGAUCAAGCUCAUGAAGGCUGCUUAUGAACUUGAUUGCAUCAUCCCGGCGAUUAAGUUUACAGUAUCCAUCAAUGACUGAGUUGUAUGUAUUCUGGUUCGGUUUACAUCCAUGCUUGAUCAUGUAGCAAACAACAUCAAUAGCCUCCUCAAACAUUGAAUCAGCUGCAUAACUUGCAACAAAAGUAUUAUAUGUGAUUACAUCUGGAAUAAGCCCAGAUUCUCUCAUUUCUGAGAAUAUAUGUGAAGCCUCUUUCAUCCGCCCAUUUCGGCAAUACGCAAAAAUUACGGUGUUGUAUGAAAUUAUAUCUGGUUUUAUUCCCUUUGCAAGGAUUUCUUUUAAAACUUCUUCUGACCUCUCAAAGUUCUCUGAUUGGCUGUGCAUAUACAUCAAACUAUUGUAAGUUGCCAAGCUAGGAGUGAACCCACUCUCUUUCAUGAAGUUCAAGAUCUCAUUUGUUUUGGUUACCAUCUGCCUCCUGCCGUAAAUAGCAAUCAUGGCAUUCAGAGUACUCAAGUCAGGUGAAAAGCCUUUUCUCUUCAACUCCAGGAAUGCACGCUCAGCUUCUAAUAGGAGGUCACAUUUACUAUUAACUAAAACAAGGGUCUUCAAGAGCACAGCAUGAGGUUCAAUUACACCAGAGCAUAUCUCCUCCGCAAGAGCAAGCAUCCGUCCAAUCUCCUUGCCAUUGGCAUAAGCAUGAAGCAAAGAACAGUGUGUCAGUUCAUUGGGCUUGCACAUACCAUCUUGCAUUUCAGCAAGUAUUUUCUCUGACUGUUCCCAUAGCCCUCCUCGAGCUAAUGCUGCCAAAACAGCAUUAUAGGUGGAAAGAUCAGGUGUGAUCCCAGUAUCCAGCAUUCUCUUGUACAUAGCCAUGGCUUGGUCAAAUGAACCACACCGACUGUACGCACUGAUUAGGGUGUUGUAGGUAUCCCUCUCCGGUACAAAGCCAACCCUCUUCAUCUCCUUGAAAACUCCAGACACUUCUGAGUCCAUCCCAUUUUGCCCAAACACUGCUAGAAGGGUAUUCCAAGUAACAAUAUCAGGUACACAGCAGCAAAUUUUGAUCUCCUCAAAAACCUUCAUCAUUUCUGCAAACUUUCCCCUGUUACCAUGCAUCUUAAUCAAGGCAUUGAAAGUACAAAUAUUAGGUUUGCAACCUGCAGUUCUCAUUUCCUCAAAAACCCUCAUUGCAGACUCAUCCUUACCAGUCCUCACAAAUCCUGACAACAUUGCAGUGUAAGUAAAAACAUCCAGUUUAAUCCCUCUUUCAACCAUCUGGUUUUUAAGCUCCAUUGCUUCUUCCAACAGACCAUCCCUUGCAUAAGCAGAUAUCAACGAAUUAUAUGUCACAAUGCUUGGUGAACAUCCAUUGACCUCCAUUUCUCUUAAUACCUCGAUCGCCUCCUUAAUCCGCCUAGACUUCCCAUAAACAUCCAAUAAAGUAUUAUAAGUGACCUUAUCAGGCACAAACCCCAUCGAUUUCAUAUCCUCAAAAACCGCAGCAGCUUCUUCAUACAAAGAUCCUCGUCUACAACAGGUUAUCAGCGUAUUAUAUGUAUACUCAUCCGGCAAAAUCCCAGCAUUCUUCAUUCCCUCAAACAGACCUGUAAUCUUGUUCCAAGGCAUACCCAUUUUUCCAUACACAUUCAGAAUCACAUUAUAAGUAAUCAAAGUUGGUUUGCACCCUUCUUCCUCCAUCUUCUUAAAAACCAUCACAGCUUCCCUAUACCUCCCAUUACUAACACAAGCAGUUAUUAAAGAUGUAUACGCAUAAACAUCAGGUUCAAACCCAUCUUUAUGCAAAUUAUUCAACAAAGAUGCUGCCACCGAAACUUUUCCUUCUUUACCAAGCAUAUUAAUAAUCACAGCCACAGCUGAAUUACUCAAGACAGAUUCAUAACCAUUCCUAUUCUUAAACCACUCAAACACACUCAUAGCCAGGUCACUUUUUUUAUAAAACCCUAAACCCUUAAUAAUACCCAAAACAUCAUUACUUAACCUCUCCUUACCACCACUACAUACACUCAACUCUUCUUUAUAGUAAUCAAAUAAAAGACUCAAGAUUUUAUCUAAUUCACUGGUUUCGAAAGAAGGGUCAUUUAAAGAAUCUAGAACUCGCUGACCUUGAAGGGAGAGACGACGGUGGGUCCAGGGUUUGCCACGGUUAGGGUCACAGGCCUUGCCAAUUCGGGUUCGGUUUCUUGGGAUAGGAAAUAGAUCAGGUUGGGUUUGCGGGUUGAUGGGUUUGGAAAGAUUGGGGCUUUGCUUGAAAAGGAAGUCCUGCAUAGGUGGGGUGCCAUGUUGUGGUGGUGGUGAAGUGGGUGUUGUUAGUUUUAGCUGUUGUUGAUGGAGGUGAGAUUGGAGAGGCAGUAAGAGUUUUGUUGGAGGUGGGUUUGUGAGGAGAAGAGGGAGAGCUAGUUUCUCUGUCAUUUUUUAGAGUGAGAGGUUUUAGGAGGGCUUUGGGCGGGUUUAAGGAUUAUAAGUUGGUUUCUUUAGUUGAGUUUGUGUGGUGUUUUGACUUAAGAAAGGAGAGAUUUUUCUGUGUGGUGUUUCAAGUUGAGAUUCUUAGAGAGGGGAUGUUUGAGAGGGGAGGAGGGUUUCAAUCCUACGUGGUGAGUGAGUAGUGGAGAUUGCCAUGGUAGCAGACAAGAAUCUCUGGCGAACAGAUAGAGCUUGCCAUGUCAGCAAAAGGUGACUCUCUGCUUCGGAGGAGAGAAGAAAUUGACAAACUAGAACUAAACAUUAUGAUUGAAAUUUUUCUAAGGAGUUGAAAGAGGAAUUGUUGCGGAUUAAAAAAAUAUGAGUUUGUUUAAGAUUGAUUUGAUGAAUUUUUUCAUGUAAAAUAAAUAAAUAAAUAAAUUUAUAUAAAUAAAAAUAUAUUAUUUUAAUUUAAACAAAAUUAAUAUUUAAAAUACAAUUAUAUAUAGAAUCCAUAUAAAAAACAAAAAUUAUUUGAGUAACUAAAUUAAAGCUACCAUAACAUCAAACUCUCUACGGGAAUUUCGAGUUAAAAAGUCUCUCUCCAAUCUUGCGGAGUUCAAAAGCUAAUGCCGUACAUGUGGUGAUAUGGAAUUAGCUGAUCUAAUUUGUGUUUCCCGUUGCAGGAAUGACUGUGUAAAGAUUCCAUAGAAAAUUAGGAGACCCAGAAGCGAGGAUUAGAUUAGAACUGUGUUCCACUCUUUCUUGUUUCUGCAACCAAAUAUUCUUCAAUAAAGUUCCCUUUUCUGCAAUUACUAGUUUUUGCCCUCACGCACUCCCAUUCUUGGGGAGUUCUGUGCAAGAACUCGUUAUGAGUCCAACUCCAGAGACGCUCAAUUGCCAACAAUCAUUUCAACAACUCUAUUUCGUAAUUAAGGUAGGUAAGUGCAGGCAAGGGGCGGCUUAAUACGACUGCUGCCAUGAUCAUUUGAGAUAAGUUUUUCAGUUAGAUCAAAACUAUCUAAAAUCAUACCAAGAGCCUGUUUUAUGCAGCAUGUACCCAAUAUGAAAAUAUUGCCAGAACCACAACUACAUACAAGAUUCAAUCAAAAUUUGAGAUUCAUCAACAGAAGCAUAAACUGGCAGAAAGUUAUAAUAUCAUCUUGAAAAUCGUACUAUGUAAGGAAUCCAUAAGCAAAAUUCUUAACAAAGCUAGUUCUGCAUGUAAGUACUGCUAAUUAAGACUAAAAACACAAGCCGCCGAAAGCACCAGGCAUAAUUUUGACUAUUAUCGUCAACAAAAAAGAUAGCCCUGCCACGGGAAAGAUGACCACGAAGACUGGAUCCAUAAUCUUGAACUUCAUUUGAGGAAAUGAGGACUAAUCAACCCAGCAAUCUCAAGAAAUCCAACCUGGUCUCUACCAGCAAAUAUCUUCUUCAACUUCUCGUCACAAAUUAUGUUCUUCUUGUUACUAGGGUCCUAAAAAAACGCAGCAAGUCCAGUCAGCUCCAAAUUAAUGAGAUAACCAUAUAUGCGUACACCAUGGAUGUUCUAUGCAAUGGCUCAGAAACAGCUAGAAAAACAAACACCAGAUUCAUGCAAAAAUGACGAACUAGAGGAGCAAUAAUACUGCAGUUCAAGAAAAGAGUUAGCACCAAAUUAGUAAAUACACCACUCAACAAAUAAAGGGAAGUGACCGCACCAGCAGAUGGACUAACAAAUGUUCUAAAGGGUGAAGUAAAACGGUAAUUAAGUGAACAUUGUAUCCAUUACUCAAACACCAAUCAUGCUUUUUGUUUCAACCAAAUUAUUCAGCUGGAAGCUAACCCUAAUAGUGAAGGACGAUAGCUGCUUGGAAAUGACAAGCCAACAGCCAGUCUUCGUGUUGAACCUCGCAAUUUUGUAAGCGCUGCCUCGCAUUUUCAGGUUAGUAAAAUCCAGUACCUCUAAUUAAGCCACAUUCAUAUAAACAUACUGCAUGUGGUCGUAUCAACAAAGCAGUGCAUACCACAUUCAUGUAUUACAAAUUUGAAAUUAUUCUGAAUUGUUUCUCAAACUUGAACUACCUACAAAAUCAUGUCUCAGCCAAAAUUCUAUAUAAAAUCAUGUCUCAACCAAAAUUCUAGUGAUGAAAUCUAUCCCUAACAUGAGAGACACCUUGUUCAUACAUCAACGAAUUCACAGCAAUAAUGAUCAGGCCAUGCAAGAAUAAAAAACUACAUCGAACAAACAUAUCCAAGUAUAACACCAUUCAAUUAAUUACAUGAGCAGCAAACAAACAAUACCCAAGAACCCACAAUUAUCCAGCAGCCUCAUAACAUUAUCCAAACCCACAAAAGAAGCAACGCGUAAAACAUAUUACAUUUUCAGAACUAAAAUACAAUAACCGCAUAACCCACACUUAAAAAACUCAUAAAAGUAAAAAAAAAAAAUAAUAAUAAUAAUAAUAAUAAUAACAGCACCAGAAGCAGAACUGGAACAUUUCGCUGACACCAGCACAACCUUAUCCACAAACAUGACAUGUCUCCAGCUAAUCAAUUAAAUAAUCAACAGCAUAAAAACCCAUGAAUAAAAAACAACCACAUUUUACCGUUCCAAAACAACCUUAUCCAAACGUUUAACUAAAAACUAAGCACAGGAAAUGACAGGAACCCAAGAUUUUAGAACAAAAUGUAGACUUCUAAUAAAAAUUAUACCUGAAGAUUGUGCUCCUUGAUAUGGGCCCAUAUAAGCUUGAGAGCCUGAGUACGAGAGACCUCAGGAGCACCAAUAAAGUCCGCCAUUUCAGGUGAGACUCGCCUCGGCUUCAUUAUGCCGCGUGGAGCACGGUUUCCGGUCGAUGCCGUGGCGCAGGUAACUACAGUACUACGCACCAUGCGCGGGUUCGCGGGAGGCGCAGCCAGAAACCUGAGAGGAAGAGUGGAUGUAGGAGAAGGAAACUUGAGAAGCGGCACCGUUUCGGUGGAUAGGAAAGUAGAGAAAAUCCCUGAAGAAAUUGCCAUUUGAAAAAAGAAAAAAACUCGAGAAUUUUGUGUUUCUGAGAGAGGGGGAGGGUUUUGAAUUAGCUUGAUUUUUUUUUUUUUCCUUUUAAAUUUUGGUGUUUUGAGAGAAUGCGAAGAGAGAUAAGGGUUUUUUGGGUUUUGUGCGAGUGAGAAACACAGAAUUUGUCUGAUCCCGCCUUAAUCCUGGCGUACUAUUCUUUAACUUUUUCACGAUUUUUUAAAUACUUGAAUGCCCCUGCCUGGGUCAAGCACUAUAAAAAAAACAGAUCGUUCGAUUUUUGUUGGGUCAAGAGUGUCCUGGUGUUUGAGGACAGACAUCCACCAGAAAUUUGGGCAGUUUGAGGAUGGGGAUGGAGGAGUUGGGUUGGGCUAAAGGAGAAAUAGAAAAGGCCAAUAUAUACAAUGGUAGACCUGGGAAUAAGUAGUGGAUCUGGGUUUCAGAAUUAGGUUUUAGCUUUCAUUUCAUUCUCUGACAUGGGCUUUAGGUGACGGAGGUGUGGUUGAGGGUUUUGGCAAAGGAUAGAUGUGCCACCGGCAAAGUCCAUGAUGCAAAUGUUCUAACAUCUGACAUUUCACGACAAGAGACAGAGACAACAACGAUGAUAAGAGUCUCGCGGUCAAAUUAACUACUUACAUAUUUACAUGCACAGAGAUACCGUGUAAAAUUAUCUAAUAUUAACUAGGAUAGGAUAUUGAUAAACUGAUUAGGUUUUAGAUUUAUUAUAUAAAAAUUAUUAGUUUAAGUUUUAUAAAUUUUAUAGUUUGGAGAUUUAUAUAAUUAUUAAUUUUAGAAUUCAUGGAAUUAGUUAAGAUUCGCGCAAACUAAUCCGAAUACUCAUGUUAAUAAAAAAAAAUUACCCAAUAUUCUAUUAUAUUUCUUUCUUUUCCAUAUAAUGAUACUAGUGAAAUUUCAUUACGUAAUAAUUAUUCGUUAACCCUACUUAGACAUGAAGGGGAAAAAGCAUAUAAAAUAAAAGUAUUGAAUUAUUGUUUGGACAGCGUUGUCUGAUAAAAAGAGUAGAAUCUCUUUUUCCCGUAAUAAUUGUCUUGAGAAGUCAAAUUGUGUGGCUUUUUUUUAUUUUGUCCGAGAAUAUAAUUUAUCUUUCCCCAGGGACAAGCUCUGCUAGCUAUCUUGAACUGUUAAUGCCUCAUUCUCUUUGACAGAACAUCCAUCCAAGACCCUCUGCAUGCCUGCUAACCAGCUCUCAAGAAUUGAUAAAAUUAAGCCAAUUGACGAGAAAGGCUCGUUGAUGCCGUCGUCUGGCCUGGAUGUAUCGCGUCGCAUUUUAGCCAAAUUGAUCAAAAUUAAAACACAUGGCACCAAUUAACUUUCUAGCACAAAUACAACAGCUAAAAAAAAGGGUAUUUCUCUCUAAUAAAUGUAUGGUUUUCUUUUCUUUUCUUUUCUUCUCAUAAAAGGGAAAGGCCUGUCCACGACGAAAGUGGAAUAUACUGUUACAACUUUAAUAUAGUGAUGAAGCCAAACCAAAAUGCAGUCCCUCCAUGCAUGAUUAGUGUUGUUAUGGUCCGACUAUUUGCCCUAGCUAGUAAAACCUUUCCCGGCUUGCAGUUGAAACCACGUUAUCAUAAAGGCAGCCUAGGAUUAAUUAAGAGGUAGGAAGGAGGUCAAUUUAACCUCAAGGAAAAGAAACUAAAGGGCCAACAAGAGGAGGAUAGCAAGUUACAAUCAUUCACAUUGCAGGAAAUGAUCGUUAAACUAACUUGCCCCCCCCCCCCACAGUCCACGUUCCCUUUUACUUUACUCUCGUUUACAUGGACUUUGGACCUACCUUUUGUAUGAUUUGUCCUCAUGAACCGUACCUCUUAUAUAUAGUAAUGUUUCAAUUCGAUCGGACCAGGAAAAUCAAGAUUCCAGAGAGUAAUCUUGUUCGAUAAUUAUCGUGUAAAAUGCGAGAGGAAACGUGUAUGUUAACAACUGAAAGGUACUCUAAAAAAAAUGGGGGUGUUGUUGUGGAUUGAAUUAUGGAGGGAGUUGAGAAGGCAAAUCCUUGACAGGCGUUAUAAUGGCACUGUGAUACAUGUGGACAAUGCUAAGAUAAAGGAUUGAAGAAGAAGCCAUUAAUUGUCACAUUGUUUAACAUGGAUUGGAAGGGCUAGGCACUGGCUAUAUAUCAAUUUCAGUUUCUAUGGAAUGCCCAGUCAGUCGGUGCUUUUUUUGCGUUGAGAAUAAUCAACCACCUAAAUUUCUGCUUUCAUCACUGCAUAAGUGGAAGAAUCCUCUCUCUCUCUCUUUUUGCGUGGGAUUUCUUUUUUUCUCUUUAUAUUUCUUUUUGUUUUUUGUCUAAGUGAUGUCUCUAAUUGAUUGAUUUUCACGUAUGGAUCAAUUAUGUCAAGAUUUAAAGAUUCGUGAAAACUUUACUCCUCGCAAUCUAAGUAAUCUUACCUGAUUUUGAACUUUUAAAAACUGGAAAUUAAACAGUGUAAUUAUUAAUCGUUUGACCAGUUCCUCAAUGUCAAAUAUGCAAAUACAAUGAAAUUCUCCGACCAUCAAUCUCCAAACAAAAAAGAAACAUACAACGAAAAGGACUAUAAGCCUAUAAUUAAACGCUUGUUGAGAAAGAUAACUGCAAACCUACAGGGACCUCGGUGAUGGAGAUGGAGAUGGUGAUGGUGAUAGGUCAAUAAAAACAGAACCCUUGAUUAAGCUAUUAGUAAUCAUAAUACUGCAGAGGAGUUUCUUGGGGUCUUAUGAAAACGAACAUCUUAAUUCUUUCAUCUUUAUACCAAAAAAAAGAAGAAGAAAAAGGAAAGAAAAUCUAACGGAGGAUUGGAUUAUAAGCAAAGGUCAUCCAUCUACCAUUUCCUUUCCAAAUUCUAACCAGUCUGGAUGAGACACGUGAACCCAGUUUAAUGAUCCCUCACACUCAACAAGCUUAUUAGGAGUUAGGACCACCCAAAAAAAAAAAAAAAAACAGUAUCUUUUACUGGUAGAACUGGUUGCAGGCUCACGGCAACACAUGUAGCUGGAACUCGUUGGAAAUUUUACUCGUUAUCAUCGUUUUUUUCUGCAUAAUUUUCAUGUCUCCAGGCCUAAUUUUGUAUUUAUUAUUCAAACUCAACGACGAACUGGCAAGGAUUAUUUAGCCUCCAGGCUCCCUAAAGAGCGCCUGUCACGGCGAGACAGCUAGCACAGCAAGGGCCACCACACAAUGGCGGUGCUCCAACAUACCAACUAAAAUUUGGCAGAUUAUAGCCAAAACUUAAGCGUAAAAUAUACAUCUGCCAGUGCCAAUCCAAUGGCAAUGUUAUGAUUAAGGGCCAGCUCAUAUGAGGGCAUGGCCCACUGAUCAUAAUCCUCCUGUUGCUUAUUCGGUAAAAAGGAUCGCUCAUUAUUCUUGACUAGUAGAAUACCUCUCAUUUUCACAGUUGUCGAGUUGGAUUUGAAGAUUAAUUCAAGAAAUGCGAGUCAAUUCAUGUAUUAGUGAAUUAAUAAUAUGAUAUAUUAAAAACAAUCCAACAUAUUGAAUUUAUAUACAUAUAUAUUUUAAUUUCAACAUAAUUCUUAACAUUGAUUUUAACACAAUUCUUAAUUAAUUGAAAAGGGCAAAGAUUUAAAGACUUGAAACUUGACUUAACAAGUAUUAAUUAAAAUAUUUAAAAUAUAAAUCAAACUUAAAAUCUUAAACAUUUAUAUGACAAUCAUAAUUAAAAAAAUGCAAGUUCUUUCACCCAUGCAUAAUAAAAUUUGAUUGUAUGAACAAGACUAGGAAUUCUCGAUGUGCCUGAUUUAUUUAGUUUAUUUUCAUUUAAAAUUGAAGAAAGAUUUAUUUUAUUGAGUUUUUUUUAUUUAAUCUGAACUAUUGAAACCGAUAUUGAGCUCUACAUUCGCUAGUGGUUGACAAAUGCAUGGCCAUUUUUAAGGACAAAAGAAAAUCAUUCCAACAAAAUCAUUAAUAAUCAUGAUUUUUUGAAUCAUGUUAAUGUCCGACGACUCUACCAUUUUCACUCCUCCCACAGAGAGAGGACAACCCCCUAAGCUAACCCAUAUUCAUCAUUAAUACACAACUUAAAGAGUAACUAACAAUUCUUCUUCUUCUUUUUUUUUUAAGGAAAAAAAAGCUGGCUGACUGCUACUAACGUGUCACCCAGAUCUCAUAUCCAAAUCACAUGCAUUGCUGGUCCCACAUCAAACAACAUAAUCGACGCCUCAGAUCUGUUUGGUAGCUCAUUGGCCCCACCAAUACCUCUCGAACUUCCGAACCUUCUUCCUUCUACUCUAUUUAUAAUCCUCCCUUCCUUUCUUUAUUUCCUCACUGAUCAGGACUGCACGCAAAGAGCAGAGAGAGAGAGAGAGUAUCAAAACUAGCAAAAAAUGAUGCUAAAAAAAGCUGUCAUCCUUCUUUCUUUGAUCUGCAUUUCGAUUGCUGGUGUUUCUGGUCAAGCACCAGCAACGUCACCAACAGCAACACCAGCACCACCCACACCAACUUCUUCUCCACCGCCAGCAACCACUCCUCCACCAGUUUCAGCCCCACCUCCUGUUACCCAAUCUCCACCUCCAGCUACCCCUCCUCCAGUUUCAGCCCCACCACCUGCCACCCCUCCUCCCGCAACCCCACCACCAGCAACUCCUCCUCCCGCCACCCCACCACCAGCAACCCCACCACCUGCUACUCCUCCACCAGCAACCCCUCCUCCCGCUGUUCCUCCACCAGCUCCAUUGGCAGCUCCACCAGCUCUUGUUCCAGCUCCAGCUCCCAGCAAGCCUAAGUUGAAGUCUCCAGCUCCAUCUCCCCUGGCAUUGAGUCCUCCAUCUCCAC